UGCGGUCUGCUCUCGAUUGUGGAGUUUUUAUUGUGUCAACAAGACAAAAGGAAGAUUUCAUCGAUUUCAGAUCGCUGAGGAGGCAACAACAAUAUUCAUUCAUCUGGCGCACUCUUUGCAAGGGGCGGAACUCUCGACGCGAAAAGUUCUCCGGAAGAUAAUUAACCAAACUGUUAGCGUUCCCGGUUAAAACACGGGAACGCAGUGGCGUGGAGCAUUGCACACAACGACAGGAGGGAGAUUUAUUCAAUUGCUUUUCUGUCUACGACCACCGAGCCUCGUUUUAAAUUCGCGUCUUACCCCAAAGCUAAUACUGUCGUGAUUCAUUUGUUAAUCAACGUUUCCACUAAACGUUGCUCAGGAGGAAACAAUUAAGAGUUGAAACGAAGGCGGAAACCAAGAAAAAAAAAAAAAAAAAAAGGAAAGAAUGGCACGAGACGCGCAACAAGAUAAAAUUGCGUCGAGCAUAAAACAAGAGGCCGAGAGCGUUGAAGAUUUACGUGUUCUUCUUUUUUUCUUCUCCUCCGCGAUUUUCGUCGAAAUAAAAAGGCGAAGCUUUUACACUGGCACGCGGGAGAAUUACAAAAUAUAACGAAAUUAUCAGACAAUGGCGGAAAAGGAGGGAAAGCGCAGCGCCACCGGAUACGGAUGUUGUUGAUUCUACAAAGUUUUAGAAAACUUCCGCGCGAAGUGGUAGCGAACGAACGAGGAAGCGAAUGAAGUGGCAAGAGGGGAAAAGUCGCAGCAUCGCGAGAAAAUCGCGGAACAGGUGUAUAAGUAGAAAUUACAAGGGUGUGCCAAGAGUGUAGGAACAACGAAACGAGAGAGACCCGUUUUAUAAUCUUCGUGUAUAAGCAAAGUAUAUAAAAUAUACUUUGAUUAUCGGACUGUGAGUGUUUGUGCCUUUUAAUAUAUGCAAAAUACAUAUUCAAAUACGUGUGAAACACAUGCAAAUGUUUCGCCUAUUGUUCGUGCACAUUUGCCUAUUAUUCGUGAAUAUUUGUCUAUUGGUGGUUGCGUAUUUGCAUAUUUUUCGUGGGUUUGCAUGCUUGUAAAUGCAAAAGGCAUACGCAAGCAUAUAUAUAAAUGCAAAAGGCAUACGAAAAAUAUAUAU
Frieseomelitta varia is the source of this 1114-nucleotide long non-coding RNA. RefSeq lists it as uncharacterized. The transcript has 3 exons. NCBI's taxonomy places the organism in Eukaryota, Metazoa, Arthropoda, Insecta, Hymenoptera, Apidae. The record is from RefSeq and is a predicted model, not a curated record.